This 604-nucleotide ribosomal RNA is filed under the name Speonomus carrerei. RNAcentral describes it as "SSU rRNA". It matches the Rfam family "Eukaryotic small subunit ribosomal RNA", at positions 22 to 602 of the family's 1831-position model. The record is from RNAcentral. Lineage: Eukaryota; Metazoa; Arthropoda; Insecta; Coleoptera; Leiodidae. RNAcentral also lists the same sequence under 28 other names.
AGUCAUAUGCUUGUCUCAAAGAUUAAGCCAUGCAUGUCUCAGUACAAGCCAAAUUAAGGUGAAACCGCGAAAGGCUCAUUAAAUCAGUUAUGGUUCCUUAGAUCGUACCCACAUUUACUUGGAUAACUGUGGUAAUUCUAGAGCUAAUACAUGCCAACAGAACUCCGACCGGAGACGGAAGGAGUGCCUUUAUUAGAUCAAAACCAAUCGGUGGCGCGGCCUCGGUCGUGUCAUCGUACAACAUGGUGAAUCUGAAUAACGUUUGCUGAUCGCACGGUCUCGCACCGGCGACGCAUCUUUCAAAUGUCUGCCUUAUCAACUGUCGAUGGUAGGUUCUGCGCCUACCAUGGUUGUAACGGGUAACGGGGAAUCAGGGUUCGAUUCCGGAGAGGGAGCCUGAGAAACGGCUACCACAUCCAAGGAAGGCAGCAGGCGCGCAAAUUACCCACUCCCGGCACGGGGAGGUAGUGACGAAAAAUAACGAUACGGGACUCAUCCGAGGCCCCGUAAUCGGAAUGAGCACACUUUAAAUCCUUUCACGAGGAUCAAUCGGAGGGCAAGUCAGGUGCCAGCAGCCGCGGUAAUUCCUGCUCCGAUAGCGUAU